ACGAACGAGAUCUUAACCUGCUAAUUAGCGGUAAGUACGACAUAUUUUUAUGUCGGAUUGGAUCUGGAUGAUUUGCUUAUAUUGAGGUGCAAUCUAAAUAGGGGAUUGCAAUUAUACUUCGUGUCGGUGUUUCUUAAUCGAAUAGCUGAUGCGUUUGGUAUAUUGCUUUCCUUUUUUUUUAUUUCUGCGCUUCUUUACUUGGCUUAUCGUACCGUUUCCUUUUUGUGUAGAAAUGUAUUUGCAUUAUAUUAAAGCUUCUUAGAGGAACGAUGUGUGUCUAACACAAGGAAGUUUAAGGCAACAACAGGUCUGUGAUGUCCUUAGAUGAACUAGGCUGCACGCGUGCUACACUGAUAUGUACAACGAGUUACUAAAAAUAUGCAUUUCGCUAUUUUGUGCUUAUCCAGCCUUUUUAGCAUUAUGGCAUACUUUUCCUCCACUGAAAAGUGUAGGUAAUCUUUAUCACUACAUAUCGUGAUG
Molecule: ribosomal RNA, 480 nt
Filed under: Plasmodium vivax (malaria parasite P. vivax)
Lineage: Eukaryota; Apicomplexa; Aconoidasida; Haemosporida; Plasmodiidae
Description: SSU rRNA
Rfam family: Eukaryotic small subunit ribosomal RNA
Source: RNAcentral